This 710-nucleotide long non-coding RNA is filed under the name Nicotiana benthamiana. RNAcentral describes it as "long non-coding RNA (NBEN_LNC008217)". The record is from RNAcentral. Lineage: Eukaryota; Viridiplantae; Streptophyta; Magnoliopsida; Solanales; Solanaceae.
UCUAACAUGAAACUGAGAAGUACAUAUUACUCCAACACAUGGCUAUUUAUACGAUUCACUCUUUUUCAGCCCAAUCAUACGAGUAAUUAACAGUUCAAAAGGAAAACUAAGUAAAUCAAAUCAUCUACUAUCUACCUUACUGAAGCAGUUGGAAUAUGUAAAUUCCGUGAGGCAAAAUGAGUGAUUCGUUUCAUUGUUGCAUUUCAACUUCAAAGCUAUAUCACUAUAAGAUUCGCAUGUGUACCUGGAAUUCAAAUUAUAACAAGAGAAAAUAGAGGUCAAGAGCAACAGUGUAACAAUAGUAGCACAAAAACAACAGUAACACAGCAAUAAGAAAACCCCAGCAACAGAGUUUAACAAAAACCAACAGAAUUUCCAGCAAACUCGACGAAACAGUACCAACACAAACCAAUGCGGACAAGAAAUAACAACUCAAGAAACCACUUAAACCUCACUGUAACCCAGAAAUAACCAACAAACAGAAUAGAAGCAGAAUGUAUUCAGAAGCGCAAAGGAUGCAAUAGACAAUUCUGAUUUUUUGUUGUUUAACCCUCAAAAUAGAACACUCUUAAGAAAAACUCCCAAACCCAGCGAUCUAUUUUUGUGAUUUUAAGACCAGACUGAUUUUGCUUUCCUUAAUUCUUACUCUUCUUCUCUGUUUUCCCCCGUUGAUUAAAAACUGCCCUCUUUAGUCCCAAAUGACCUCUAUC